RNAcentral lists this microRNA precursor (83 nucleotides) under Bombyx mori (domestic silkworm). RNAcentral describes it as "mir-2807 microRNA precursor family". It matches the Rfam family "mir-2807 microRNA precursor family". The record is from Rfam by way of RNAcentral. Lineage: Eukaryota; Metazoa; Arthropoda; Insecta; Lepidoptera; Bombycidae.
UUAAGUCAAAUUUGUAUGCAGUUGGAACGUUGCCUACGUUUGCCGCUAGGGGCGCUGUUCCAACUGCAUAGAACGUUAAAAAC